CAUGCGCAUGACCCUCUUCACACACCAGUCAAACCAGGAGCGCGCUCUGUGCGCAUUCGUUUUGCUCUUGUGCUGCCGGCAUCGUGGAUUAUGCGACUUCCCACACCCCGGGCAACACACCCAACCAUCAGUGUCUCCGUGCGUCUCUUCUUGUUUGUAUUUGUGUGACAGAGGGGUAUCCAGCAGCUAAGCUACCGUGCACCACUUCUUGUCGCUCCCCUCAACAGUCACCGGUGAUGCUGUGCUGAUCGCUGUGGGCACUCCAGCAGGCGACUGCCGGCCAGCGCUCACGUGCCCGAGUCAAAGAGCUGCGAGUACUCUUCCCUGAUCCAGCUUUCUUCUCCAUUCACACAGGUGCCCUUAUGAAGCGGCUGCUUCUGUUCGAUCCAUCGCCGCAGGCGGCGACCUCACGCGUGCCGCAGGACGCGGGCAACAGCGGGUUCGCAGGCAUCGCCUCCUGGGUCCGCAGCACAGCGCCUUCCGGCCAGGAGUCCGUUGAGCACCGCGUUGGUGUCAUCGUGCGCCACAGCUGCGCUCUGCUGGCACACAUAGCUGAGAAGCGCAUCACGUACUUACUCUAUCCUCGGCCUCUCAAGAUGCGCAUGACCAAUGCGUAGAGUGCAGCCUAUCUGUAUUACCGAGGGGUCGAUGUGGUGGCGCCGCUGGAGCAGUACAUGGCGGUGUCCGCCGUCGCGGCGAAGCUGUGUGAGAUUGAAGACGCUUGAGAGAUGCUUAACGUGAAAGCUCUUCACUCAUCCCUCGCCUACGUGUUCGCACAUCGCUACGCCGAGGAAACGCUCGUCGCGAGCGGCUGGCGACGUCGCCGACGAACUUCUUCCGUGAACUGCCGCUCACGACGCGCUACGCAGGUUUGCAGCGCUGCCCGACGGGGGACGCCCAGGUAGGCGUGCGCUACAGCUUCCGCACGACUGAGGCGGAUCUGCCAGGGCUCCCAAACCUUGCCGUACACCCCGUCGCCAUGGUCACCUUUGCAGUCGUCUUCGUCUUUCACGCCGAGCGGGAACUCGUGCAGAAGCGAGGGCGGCGGCUGGUGGCAGUCAAACUGGCUCCGCUCACCGCGGGGCCCCUAUGACGGAGUCGCGACGCGCGCCCCAAUGCCGAAUGAGGCCUGCUUGUAGCAUCCACGUCAGGAAGCGGUGGCGCUAGAGCCCAUGAACGACUGCAGGGAUUUUGCGUCUCUCACCAGCGGCUAACGUUCGUGAUGCGCUCCACAAAGAAACGCAGACGAAAGGAGAGGCUUCGACAGCGUCCAAGGCGGUGUUGCAGCGACACAGCGCGUCGUCUCGUGUGGAUGACGGCAGUGGGAUGUGCGCGUGUGUGUGUGUAGACCUCUGCGCUCGACGCAACCCAUUCCACAAAUGACCUUGACAC
Molecule: unclassified non-coding RNA, 1392 nt
Filed under: Leishmania donovani
Lineage: Eukaryota; Euglenozoa; Kinetoplastea; Trypanosomatida; Trypanosomatidae
Description: gene:LdHU3.31.0720(CDS-product:hypothetical_prote in)
Source: RNAcentral